GAUGAACGCUGGCGGCGUGCCUAAUACAUGCAAGUCGAGCGAACAGAAGAGGAGCUUGCUCCUCUGACGUUAGCGGCGGACGGGUGAGUAACACGUGGAUAACCUACCUAUAAGACUGGGAUAACUUCGGGAAACCGGAGCUAAUACCGGAUAAUAUAUUGAACCGCAUGGUUCAAUAGUGAAAGACGGUUUUGCUGUCACUUAUAGAUGGAUCCGCGCCGCAUUAGCUAGUUGGUAAGGUAACGGCUUACCAAGGCGACGAUGCGUAGCCGACCUGAGAGGGUGAUCGGCCACACUGGAACUGAGACACGGUCCAGACUCCUACGGGAGGCAGCAGUAGGGAAUCUUCCGCAAUGGGCGAAAGCCUGACGGAGCAACGCCGCGUGAGUAAUGAAGGUCUUCGGAUCGUAAAACUCUGUUAUUAGGGAAGAACAAAUGUGUAAGUAACUAUGCACGUCUUGACGGUACCUAAUCAGAAAGCCACGGCUAACUACGUG
RNAcentral lists this ribosomal RNA (497 nucleotides) under uncultured bacterium. RNAcentral describes it as "partial 16S ribosomal RNA". It matches the Rfam family "Bacterial small subunit ribosomal RNA", at positions 28 to 507 of the family's 1533-position model. The record is from RNAcentral.